This 3492-nucleotide ribosomal RNA is filed under the name Triticum aestivum (bread wheat). Its description in RNAcentral is "partial small subunit ribosomal RNA". The record is from RNAcentral. Lineage: Eukaryota; Viridiplantae; Streptophyta; Magnoliopsida; Poales; Poaceae.
AUGGACGGCGGGGAGACCCAGGUCGUGGACGACGGAGGGACGCCGCCAUUGGGGUCUCCUGUUAGCUCCGGCGACACGACCCAGAGCGGGGGCGAGGAGGAUGACAACGGUCUGAGAUUAGGGUCUCCAGUUAGCUCUGGUGACACGACGCAGAGCGGGGGCGAGGACGAUGGCGACGCCGGUGUGCUGUAUGGCGAGACGCAGCCGCUGGACGACGACGAGGAGACCGAGGCGGUUGAUGAUGAAUUUGAGGGGGAAGGGGAGGAGAGGAUGUCUGAAGACACGCAGGUGGUGGAGGACUCAGAGGAUGAUGCCCGUGGCGUCGCUGGGCAGACGCAGGCAGUAGAGGAGGAGGAAGUGGAAGAUGGUGACAGCACGGAGGAUGAAGCUGGUGAUGGGGAUAGGACCCAGUUGGUUGAAGAAUGUGAGGUUGAGGAUGGUGGGAGCGGCGAGACCCAGUUGGUCGAGGAAUGUCAGGAAGAGGAGAGAGUAAAUGAUAGCAGCGAUGAUGAGGCUGCUGUUCAACAGGGGACGACCCAGUUGGUCGAGGAAUGUCAGGAAGAGGAGAGGGUAAAUGAUAGCAGCGAUGAUGACGCUGCCGAUCAACGUGGGAUGACCCAGUUGGUUGAAGACUCGGAUAAAGAGAUGGGUGAUGAUGGUGAUGAUGAGUUGAGCCAGGGCACUCAAGUGCAAAGUGACGAUGAUGGCCUGCCAAAUAAUGAGACAGAUGUGAAGGAUUAUGCCGAGGAUUCGGUAGAUUCUGAUGCUUCCACGGAAGAAGAAGCUGACACAGUCAGAAGUUUGGGACGAGGGAAAAGGCAUGAUUCGACCAAUGGAACAUUUCUCCGAACGGAAAUUAGCCAUGAAAAAGAUGGGAGUAAAAGCAAAGGCAGGUGCUCAACAGCAAAGAAGCUUUUUGCUGACACAACGAACGAAGAGAAUGAAAUCAAGAGCAGGUGUUUGGCUGGACUAAGCUAUCUCGGAUCACAGGAGCCUGGUGAGCUAUCUCAAGCAAAUGCUUUGGACUUUGUGGAAGGGUUGAUCUCAAUUAAUGGCGGCAUAUCGUCUCAAGAACCAACACCAAAAAAAUUAGAAAAAGCAAAGCCACCUGUUUCAAUUAAGAUGGGAACUUUACUAUUGGCUGAGAAGGUUGACCGGCAUAGAAGUUCCAGAGGAAAGGCAGAAGUCUUUGCAUGGGUGGAUAGUCGCGAGGAUGAUGGCGGAGGUGAUUUUUUCAGGAAAAACAAGGAUAUCUUGUUGCAACAAUCAGCUGGCAGAGGGAAAUCAGACAUUCCCAGGCCAAAGAAGUGCUCCACAAAAAUUGCACCUCCUGACAAGAAAAUAAUAGAGGGACGCAAAAGGAGAACGAAGUCCAAACUUUGUGACAAGACUGAAACUUUACCUUCAUCGGAUUCGAGACUACUCAAAAGUGAGGUGAAGAGUAAGAUGGCUUCUAGAAAAAGGACUAAGAAAAACCUUUUGAAAGACUUGGAUGAUCAUCUAUCAACUGCCAAACCUAUUGAAAGACAGCAGGAAAAGGUCAGUGUGGAUUUGCAUGAUGUUGGUCAGGAUACUCAAAUGGCUAUCGAAGCUAUAGAAGCACUGGCACAAAGUUCCCCUGCUGAAAACUUGUCAGCCGAAGUUGAACCUCCAGUGAAGAGAGAUCUGAGAGUUGUAUCUAAAGUAGAAAAAAGUAACCCAAAGAGUGACCCUCCUAGAAAGAGAACCAGCAGCGUCCAGGAAGGUGUCACGACACGUUCUAAAAGAAUAAAAGUAACUGAGAUGAACCACAAACCUCAGAAAGACGUGCGACAAAAUUUAGAAGAUCGUGCAACAAAGACGAAACAUAAGCAGGCAAAGCCAGUACCACAGAAGAAUAAAGUUACGAAGAUAGUUGAUGGAAAUAAGUAUGACAGUACACCUAUUGCUCAUCGAACAAGGCACACUGGUAGAAAUAACCUCUAUGAGUCUCCUGAGUUAUGUUCUAAUAAGAACUUAAAGAAGGCCACUGUUGGAGAAGUAAGAAAUAACCAUAGUGAACAUGUACUCGAGAGACCGAUGAUUAGUGAGAGAACCGCAGAAUAUGGUUCGGAUUCUGUGUUAAAAGAAAACACAGAGAAUACAUGUGCAAAUAAUGCUCAGGGUCUUCAGCAAAGUACUGAUGCAAGCAUACGGCAUACCGGUGCAAAUGUUGCUCAGAACCUUGAACCAUUAAGAGAUGAACCAACAACUCAUGUCUUCCGCAGAGAGCCCUCAUCUCACCCCAAACAGAGAAGAACACCUACUGCAGUGGUACAGGCAAAGGCUCCUGCAGUUACCGAGGCUGCUACAGGUCAUGAUGUACAACCAGAAGUGACAAGGCCAUCCAAGAAAAGACGGAUUUUUAUUAGCAGUUCAGAACUGCUAACGUAUGCAAGGAGGGAGCGCUCUGAUUGCAGAUCAACUUCUUUGCUGUCUAGUAUUAUCACACAAUCAUCAGCUGCUUCUCCUGUACUUGAUUCUUCAUCGGGAGUUAACAGCAAAACUUCUCGUUUUAGUACCUCUGAUCGGCGACAAAAGAAACCACCCGGUGUUAAGGAUGCAAGCAACUCACCAAAAUGUAACUCUCCAGUUCCGAAUAGUGCCCUGAAAACACCUUCUAAAGUGGUAAACAAAUUGUCGCCUGCUUUCAGUCCUCUAAAUCCAUCGAAAGCUUCGAAUAGGAGCUUGUUGAAAUCCUCUGUUGCCAAAGAGCUGCUGGAGUUAGAUCCUGAAAAUGCUCUACCAAGUCGAUACCGAAAGGAUUCUAGAAGAAAAGAUAUGACCAGUUGCAGUAUUAUUUUCAGCCAUCAUUUGGAUGAGGAUGUGAUCAAGCGUCAGAAGAAGAUCUUGGCACGCUUAGGAGCCCAUGAAGCACUUUCCGUUGCAGAUGCAACACAUUUUGUGGCGGAUGGUUUUUACCGCACAAAGAAUAUGCUGGAGGCAGUUACACGUGGCAAACUGGUAGUGACAUCAAUGUGGCUUGAAAGUUGUGGAGCAGCAGGCUGUUUUGUAAACGAUAAGAAGUAUAUUCUGAGGGAUGCCAAAAAGGAAAAGGAGAUGGGUUUCAGCAUGCCUAUAUCACUGGCCUCAGCUUGCAAGAGUCCUCUGCUGUUGGGGAAAAGAGUGUUUGUGACACAAAAUGUGAAGCCAAGUCGGGAGGUGGUGACAAGCUUGGUUUCCGCAUCUUCUGGGCAGCCAUUGGAGAGGAUGGGUAGGUCCAUAAGGAAGGAAAAGGAAGCACCAGAUGACCUACUGGUCAUCUCAUGUGAAGAGGACUACGAAACAUGCGCUCCACUCGUCGAGAAAGGUGUUGAUGUUUUCGAUGCGGAGCUUCUGCUGAACGGUAUAGUCACCCAGAAGCUCGAUUACGAGAGACACCGCCUUUUCUUGGACCGUGUGAAGCAGACCCGCUCGACGAGGUGGCUGAAAGACGGUGCCCACGGGCGGUUUGUGCCCGUAUCGAAGAGUUGA